Molecule: ribosomal RNA, 560 nt
Filed under: uncultured bacterium
Lineage: Bacteria
Description: partial 16S ribosomal RNA
Rfam family: Bacterial small subunit ribosomal RNA
Source: RNAcentral
UGGGGAAUAUUGGACAAUGGGCGCAAGCCUGAUCCAGCAAUGCCGCGUGAGUGAUGAAGGCCUUAGGGUUGUAAAGCUCUUUCGCACGCGACGAUGAUGACGGUAGCGUGAGAAGAAGCCCCGGCUAACUUCGUGCCAGCAGCCGCGGUAAUACGAAGGGGGCUAGCGUUGUUCGGAAUUACUGGGCGUAAAGGGCGCGUAGGCGGCCUGUUUAGUCAGAAGUGAAAGCCCCGGGCUCAACCUGGGAAUAGCUUUUGAUACUGGCAGGCUUGAGUUCCGGAGAGGAUGGUGGAAUUCCCAGUGUAGAGGUGAAAUUCGUAGAUAUUGGGAAGAACACCGGUGGCGAAGGCGGCCAUCUGGACGGACACUGACGCUGAGGCGCGAAAGCGUGGGGAGCAAACAAGAUUAGAUACCCUGGUAGUCCAUGCCGUAAACGAUGAAUGCUAGACGUCGGGGUGCAUGCACUUCGGUGUCGCCGCUAACGCAUUAAGCAUUCCGCCUGGGGAGUACGGCCGCAAGGUUAAAACUUAAAUGAAUUGACGGGGUCAUAGCUGUUUCCU